Molecule: ribosomal RNA, 254 nt
Filed under: uncultured bacterium
Lineage: Bacteria
Description: partial 16S ribosomal RNA
Rfam family: Bacterial small subunit ribosomal RNA
Source: RNAcentral
UACGUAGGGUGCGAGCGUUGUCCGGAAUUACUGGGCGUAAAGAGCUCGUAGGUGGUUUGUCGCGUUGUUCGUGAAAACUCACAGCUUAACUGUGGGCGUGCGGGCGAUACGGGCAGACUGGAGUACUGCAGGGGAGACUGGAAUUCCUGGUGUAGCGGUGGAAUGCGCAGAUAUCGGGAGGAACACCAAUUGCGAAGGCAGCUUGCUGGGACGAUACUGACGCUGAGGCGCGAAAGCGUGGGGAGCAAACAGGG